This is a transfer RNA of 82 nucleotides. It matches the Rfam family "tRNA". From Rfam's summary of the family: Transfer RNA (tRNA) molecules are approximately 80 nucleotides in length. Their secondary structure includes four short double-helical elements and three loops (D, anti-codon, and T loops). The record is from Rfam.
GCGGAUGUGGCGAAAUUGGUAGCCGCGCUGGACUUAGAAUCCAGUGGGUAAUUCCUUGAGAGUUCGAGUCUCUCCAUCCGCA